AUUAUUUUAAAAUAAAAAUUGAUGUGUUGCUUAUUUAAAAAAUUAGUUAUUUAGUUAUUGCUGUUUGUAGAUCAUGUUAGCAUGUCACAGCUUUCUUAAACUAACAUACGCAGAUAGGCCCAAAGCGCGCCAACCAUUGAAGUCAUCGCCAUUCCUUCCUCCUCCUGCUUCUUCUUCUUCUUCUUCUUCCCUUACGGCUUUAUCAAACCAAACCUCUCAUCAUGCUCUUCCUGUCUACGAAACGACAACAGCUCUAAUCAAAUCAGCAAAUAACCUAAUAAAAACAACACAGCAACACCAAAAUUAAAAAAAAUGUCAUUUAUCUUCUCACCU
Molecule: long non-coding RNA, 333 nt
Filed under: Ricinus communis (castor bean)
Lineage: Eukaryota; Viridiplantae; Streptophyta; Magnoliopsida; Malpighiales; Euphorbiaceae
Description: long non-coding RNA (RCOM_LNC002910)
Source: RNAcentral